UCAACCUGAGAGUUUGAUCCUGGCUCAGAGCGAACGCUGGCGGCAGGCCUAACACAUGCAAGUCGAACGGACCCUUCGGGGUUAGUGGCGGACGGGUGAGUAACACGUGGGAACGUGCCUUUAGGUUCGGAAUAGCUCCUGGAAACGGGUGGUAAUGCCGAAUGUGCCCUUCGGGGGAAAGAUUUAUCGCCUUUAGAGCGGCCCGCGUCUGAUUAGCUAGUUGGUGGGGUAAUGGCCCACCAAGGCUACGAUCAGUAGCUGGUCUGAGAGGAUGACCAGCCACAUUGGGACUGAGACACGGCCCAAACUCCUACGGGAGGCAGCAGUGGGGAAUCUUGCGCAAUGGGCGAAAGCCUGACGCAGCCAUGCCGCGUGUAUGAUGAAGGUCUUAGGAUUGUAAAAUACUUUCACCGGUGAAGAUAAUGACUGUAGCCGGAGAAGAAGCCCCGGCUAACUUCGUGCCAGCAGCCGCGGUAAUACGAAGGGGGCUAGCGUUGCUCGGAAUUACUGGGCGUAAAGGGAGCGUAGGCGGACAUUUAAGUCAGAGGUGAAAUCCCGGAGCUUAACUUCGGAACUGCCUUUGAUACUGGGUGUCUUGAGUGUGAGAGAGGUAUGUGGAACUCCGAGUGUAGAGGUGAAAUUCGUAGAUAUUCGGAAGAACACCAGUGGCGAAGGCGACAUACUGGCUCAUUACUGACGCUGAGGCUCGAAAGCGUGGGGAGCAAACAGGAUUAGAUACCCUGGUAGUCCACGCCGUAAACGAUGAUUGCUAGUUGUCGGGAAGCUUGCUUCUCGGUGACGCAGCUAACGCAUUAAGCAAUCCGCCUGGGGAGUACGGUCGCAAGAUUAAAACUCAAAG
This 859-nucleotide ribosomal RNA is filed under the name Brevundimonas sp. RNAcentral's name for it is "bacterial SSU rRNA". It matches the Rfam family "Bacterial small subunit ribosomal RNA", at positions 1 to 906 of the family's 1533-position model. Lineage: Bacteria; Pseudomonadati; Pseudomonadota; Alphaproteobacteria; Caulobacterales; Caulobacteraceae. The record is from RNAcentral.